UUUCCUCCAGGUCAGGAUGAAACAGACAACGCUGGGAAAUAUUCUGGAGGAAAUAAGAGACAUCGAGCCCCACACACAUCGGUUCUGUACAACCGAGCAGAGCCAAAUUCACACACAGGCUCUGCCUGGGGCAGGGGAACCCCUCGGCUGCACCCGAGAAGUUCCUGACUCUGGGCAGAGGCUGGGAACCCCAAACUGGACCAGAAAACCUUCCCCCACAGCUUCCAUUGCUGCUUUAAUAGUCCUUAACUGAACUACUCAAAUGGAUUGAAACAAAGAAGAUAUUCACCCUGACUGCAGAAGAGACUGGGGCUCUCAAAAAUUGCUUUCCUGCAUCAGUCACAUCCUGUUCCAUCUGCUUAGCCAAGGCCUUUGGUCAGGCUGGUGGCAUCACCUUCCAAAGCUCAGGAACAGCAAACAUCUCUUUGUGUCAAUUGAAGAGGUGCUGACAAAAUUUCGACAAAAUGUUACUUGAUUAUUUUAAUUUUUUUUAAUAAUGAAUUUUUGGGGAAGAUAUUAAGGAAUAAUAUUGUCCAGCAAAGACAGUAUUUGUAGGGAUUUUCAUGAAAUUCUGGCAUAAUGAAGAAAGGGACUCCUAAUAGUUACCUUUGAUUGCACAGAUUGUUACUUCAAGGUGGAAAGGCUUAUACAUCUCAAUUUUAAAUGAUUAGUUUCAAGACAGAAAAUGCUCUAUGUGAGCACUUGGGCAGCAACAGACAAGAAUUAAUUUCAACUGAUAGGGGAGGAAAUGAUCCCCUUAUCUAAAGUGAAGGGCAGUUGGGCAAAUGGAGUUCAGACAACCACUGGGGAAGGCAGAAAUGGAUAAUAAAUAUAAACCUAUAUAACAGUGCA
This is a long non-coding RNA of Sturnus vulgaris (Common starling), 852 nucleotides long. RefSeq lists it as uncharacterized. NCBI's taxonomy places the organism in Eukaryota, Metazoa, Chordata, Aves, Passeriformes, Sturnidae. The record is from RefSeq and is a predicted model, not a curated record.